AACUUUUGGCAAUGGAUCACUUGGCUCUCGCAUCGAUGAAGAACGCAGCGAAAUGCGAUACGCAAUGUGAAUUGCAGAAUUCAGUGAAUCAUCGAAUCUUUGAACGCACCUUGCGCCCCUUGGCAUUCCGAGGGGCACACCCGUUUGAGUGUCGUGAAAUUCUCAAACCUUCUUGGUUUCUUGAUCAAGAUGGCUUUGGACUUUGGAGGCAUUUUGCUGGCUUUGCGAAAAGCCAGCUCCUGUUAAUUACAUUAGUGGGAUCCCCUUUGCCGAUCCCCAGGCGUGAUAAGAUAUUUCUACGUCUUGGGAUUUGCUCUGUUCCUUGGGAACCCGCUUCCAACCGUCUCAUGGGAGACAUCGUUCGAGUUUGCUCGACCCACGAACCUUGACCUCAAAUCGGGUGAGACUACCCGCUGAACUUAAGCAUAUCAAUAAGAGGAGGCU
RNAcentral lists this unclassified non-coding RNA (444 nucleotides) under uncultured Russula. RNAcentral describes it as "sequence contains ITS2". The stretch from base 1 to 154 matches the Rfam family "5.8S ribosomal RNA". The record is from RNAcentral. Lineage: Eukaryota; Fungi; Basidiomycota; Agaricomycetes; Russulales; Russulaceae.